This 474-nucleotide ribosomal RNA is filed under the name uncultured bacterium. Its description in RNAcentral is "bacterial SSU rRNA". It matches the Rfam family "Bacterial small subunit ribosomal RNA", at positions 25 to 518 of the family's 1533-position model. The record is from RNAcentral.
CAGGACGAACGCUGGCGGCGUGCCUAACACAUGCAAGUCGGGCGAUGAAGUUCUUCGGAACGGAUUAGCGGCGGACGGGUGAGUAACGCGUGAGCAAUCUGCCUUACACAAAGGGAUAGCCUCGGGAAACUGGGAUUAAUACCAUAUAACACUUACAUAUCGCAUGAUGAGUAAGUCAAAGAUUUAUCGGUGUAAGAUGAGCCCGCGUCUGAUUAGCUAGUUGGUGGGGUAAAGGCCUACCAAGGCAACGAUCAGUAGCCGGCCUGAGAGGGUGAACGGCCACACUGGAACUGAGACACGGUCCAGACUCCUACGGGAGGCAGCAGUGGGGAAUAUUGCACAAUGGGCGCAAGCCUGAUGCAGCGACGCCGCGUGAGCGAAGAAGGUUUUCGGAUCGUAAAGCUCCGUCCUUUGGGAAGAAAAAAUGACGGUACCAAAGGAGGAAGCCCCGGCUAACUACGUGCCAGCAGCAGC